UCUGGUUGAUCCUGCCAGAGGCCACUGCUAUCGGGGUUCGAUUAAGCCAUGCGAGUCGAGAGGUGAAAGACCUCGGCGUACUGCUCAGUAACACGUGGACAACCUACCCUAAGGAGGGGGAUAACCCCGGGAAACUGGGGAUAAUACCCCAUAGACUAGAGAAGCUGGAAUGCUCUCAAGUCCAAAGGUCCGCCGCCUUAGGAUGGGUCUGCGGUCGAUUAGGUUGUUGUUGGGGUAACGGCCCAACAAGCCCGUGAUCGAUACGGGUUGUGAGAGCAAGAGCCCGGAGAUGGAUUCUGAGACACGAAUCCAGGCCCUACGGGGCGCAGCAGGCGCGAAAACUUUACAAUGCGGGAAACCGUGAUAAGGGAACCCCGAGUGCCCGUAAAUUCGGGCUGUCCAUCAGCGUAAAAUAACUGGUGAAGAAAGGGCCGGGCAAGACCGGUGCCAGCCGCCGCGGUAAUACCGGCGGCUCGAGUGGUGGCCACUAUUAUUGGGCUUAAAGCGUCCGUAGCUUGGUUGUUAAGUCUCUUGGGAAAUCUACCGGCUCAACCGGUAGGCGUUCAGGAGAUACUGGCAAUCUAGGGACCGGGAGAGGUGAGAGGUACUCCAGGGGUAGGAGUGCAAUCCUGUAAUCCUUGGGGGACCACCUGUGGCGAAGGCGUCUCACUAGAACGGCUCCGACAGUGAGGGACGAAAGCUGGGGGAGCAAACCGGAUUAGAUACCCGGGUAGUCCCAGCUGUAAACGAUGCGCGUUAGGUGUAUCGGUGACCACGAGUCACCGAGGUGCCGAAGGGAAACCGUGAAACGUGCCGCCUGGGAAGUACGGUCGCAAGGCUGAAACUUAAAGGAAUUGGCGGGGGAGCACCACAACAGGUGGAGCCUGCGGUUUAAUCGGACUCAACGCCGGAAAGCUCACCGGAUAAGACAGCGGAAUGAUAGCCGGGCUGAAGACUCUGCUUGACUAGCUGAGAGGAGGUGCAUGGCCGUCGUCAGUUCGUACUGUGAAGCAUCCUGUUAAGUCAGGCAACGAGCGAGACCC
Molecule: ribosomal RNA, 1043 nt
Filed under: unidentified archaeon
Lineage: Archaea
Description: bacterial SSU rRNA
Rfam family: Archaeal small subunit ribosomal RNA
Source: RNAcentral